RNAcentral lists this ribosomal RNA (500 nucleotides) under uncultured Glomus. RNAcentral's name for it is "SSU rRNA". It matches the Rfam family "Eukaryotic small subunit ribosomal RNA", at positions 569 to 1076 of the family's 1831-position model. The record is from RNAcentral. Lineage: Eukaryota; Fungi; Glomeromycota; Glomeromycetes; Glomerales; Glomeraceae.
AGCAGCCGCGGUAAUUCCAGCUCCAAUAGCGUAUAUUAAAGUUGUUGCAGUUAAAAAGCUCGUAGUUGAAUUUCGGGAUUAAUAUGCUGGUCGUGCCAUUGGUACGUACUAGUAUUAUUGAUUUCUCCCUUCUGAUAAAUCAUGAUGUCAUUAAUUUGAUGUCAUGGGGAAUCAGGACUGUUACUUUGAAAAAUUAGAGUGUUUAAAGCAGGCUCGCGCUUGAAUACAUUAGCAUGGAAUAAUGAAAUAGGACGUUUGAUUCUAUUUUAUUGGUUUCUAGGAUUGACGUAAUGAUUAAUAGGGAUAGUUGGGGGCAUUAGUAUUCAAUUGUCAGAGGUGAAAUUCUUGGAUUUAUUGAAGACUAACUACUGCGAAAGCAUUUGCCAAGGAUGUUUUCAUUAAUCAAGAACGAAAGUUAGGGGAUCGAAGACGAUCAGAUACCGUCGUAGUCUUAACCAUAAACUAUGCCGACUAGGGAUCGGAUGAUGUUAAUUAUGACU